This 73-nucleotide transfer RNA is filed under the name Alphaproteobacteria bacterium GM7ARS4. RNAcentral describes it as "tRNA-Ala". It matches the Rfam family "tRNA". From Rfam's summary of the family: Transfer RNA (tRNA) molecules are approximately 80 nucleotides in length. Their secondary structure includes four short double-helical elements and three loops (D, anti-codon, and T loops). Further hydrogen bonds mediate the characteristic L-shaped molecular structure. tRNAs have two regions of fundamental functional importance: the anti-codon, which is responsible for specific mRNA codon recognition, and the 3' end, to which the tRNAs corresponding amino acid is attached (by aminoacyl-tRNA synthetases). tRNAs cope with the degeneracy of the genetic code in two manners: having more than one tRNA (with a specific anti-codon) for a particular amino acid; and 'wobble' base-pairing, i.e. permitting non-standard base-pairing at the 3rd anti-codon position. The record is from RNAcentral. Lineage: Bacteria; Pseudomonadati; Pseudomonadota; Alphaproteobacteria.
GGGGCCGUAGCUCAGUUGGGAGAGCGCGUCGUUCGCAAUGACGAGGUCAGGGGUUCGACUCCCCUCGGCUCCA